CUCGGCCACACACGCGGACCGACGAGGCGCACACACGUACCGACCGACAGCAGACAGACGAGCUUGGGCGGGAUCCGGUGUGUUGGGGGCGGCACCUGCGGCCGGGUGUAGUGGGAGCUGCAGAGACCCGCCCGCGGUGCCCUUUGGGGCUGGGCGGCGCGGCUGCCUAUCCCUGCCUACUCCGGCGAGUUACCUGCGGCCCGGAGAGGCCACGUGAUCAGGACGGCCCAGGGAACCCCGCGGGAGGGCCAAAACCCUGCCCAGGAGGCAAGAGCUCACUUCUGCCGAGGCGUGCGCUCGCCGGCUGGAGUCCCACCUCUUGCUGCAGUCCGGCGAGACUCCUGGGACAAAUCCAUUCUUUCUCCUACUUCCUCUCUAGCAGGCACUCUGAGUCCUCCGCAAAAGAAUGUGCAGGAUCAGAGGCCUCUUUCCAUUCUGCAAGGGUCACGCAAGACCCAUGGAAUUCAACAGGAGGCAAUCUAGGGACUAUAAAAGGUCGCGACGUCUGGCUUGAGGUUAAUGGAAGUUACAAAGGGUCAAAAGCCGACAGUGAGCGCUACCAGGUGUCGGGUCGGCGUAGUGCCGGUAGUGCAAGGCGCACGUUACUGUGGACCUGAAGGCUCAGGCCUUGGUGCCAAGCCUCCGAGCAAGGCUCCCCUUUCAACCUGUAGACCUCGCCUCCCGAUUCUCAGGAGAUCUUGCUGACUGUGGAAUCCCUGGCUGUUCCGAACCCCCUGGAAAGAAGCGUCUGUUCCCAGGUUUCUGCAAGGUAACGAAUCUGAAGAGCCAACAGAAUUGGGCGGCUCCAUUCAUUCGACUCUGGUUCUCUCAACCAGGCAUUCCCCAUAUUAAAACAAUUCCAGAACUUCAAAGUCUUUGGUAUUUUGCUUUAUCACCUUUAUUUGUUUUUGUGUAGGCACGCACAAGGCACAGUGCCAGGGUGGAGGUCCGAGAACAGCUUGUGGGACUUGGUCCUCUCCUUCCACAAAUGGGUCCUGGGCACAGAACUCAAGCAAGCCCUCUUACAUCCCCGUUUUGUUUCUAUACCUGUCUGGCAGGUACCCAUGUACUCGAUAGAUAGUUGAAGAUGACCUUGCAAGUCUGAUUUUCUUGCCUUCACCUCUCAAGUGCUUAGGAACCCAGCUAGAAGUGCCUCGGCACUCAUAGCUACAAGAUCCAAGAUAGUUUGGGCUCAGUUUUGAAAGUUCCAGGCCCUAAAUCAACAAAGCCAAUAAGAUUAGUAGCUGAGGGUGAUGGGUUUGUAAUCACCACAGGAGUUCCAG
Molecule: long non-coding RNA, 1283 nt
Filed under: Mus spicilegus (steppe mouse)
Lineage: Eukaryota; Metazoa; Chordata; Mammalia; Rodentia; Muridae
Description: lncRNA (ENSMSIG00000005590.1)
Source: RNAcentral